AGAGUUCGCUUCUGGCUCAGGAUGAACGCUAGCUACAGGCUUAACACAUGCAAGUCGAGGGGCAGCAUCAUCAAAGCUUGCUUUGAUGGAUGGCGACCGGCGCACGGGUGAGUAACACGUAUCCAACCUGCCGACAACACUGGGAUAGCCUUUCGAAAGAAAGAUUAAUACCGGAUGGCAUAGUUUUCCCGCAUGGGAUAAUUAUUAAAGAAUUUCGGUUGUCGAUGGGGAUGCGUUCCAUUAGGCAGUUGGCGGGGUAACGGCCCACCAAACCAACGAUGGAUAGGGGUUCUGAGAGGAAGGUCCCCCACAUUGGAACUGAGACACGGUCCAAACUCCUACGGGAGGCAGCAGUGAGGAAUAUUGGUCAAUGGACGAGAGUCUGAACCAGCCAAGUAGCGUGAAGGAUGACUGCCCUAUGGGUUGUAAACUUCUUUUAUACGGGAAUAAAGUUAGCCACGUGUGGCUUUUUGUAUGUACCGUGUGAAUAAGGAUCGGCUAACUCCGUGCCAGCAGCCGCGGUAAUACGGAGGAUCCGAGCGUUAUCCGGAUUUAUUGGGUUUAAAGGGAGCGUAGGCGGGUUGUUAAGUCAGUUGUGAAAGUUUGCGGCUCAACCGUAAAAUUGCAGUUGAUACUGGCGACCUUGAGUGCAACAGAGGUAGGCGGAAUUCGUGGUGUAGCGGUGAAAUGCUUAGAUAUCACGAAGAACUCCGAUUGCGAAGGCAGCUUACUGGAUUGUAACUGACGCUGAUGCUCGAAAGUGUGGGUAUCAAACAGGAUUAGAUACCCUGGUAGUCCACACAGUAAACGAUGAAUACUCGCUGUUGGCGAUAUACAGUCAGCGGCCAAGCGAAAGCAUUAAGUAUUCCACCUGGGGAGUACGCCGGCAACGGUGAAACUCAAAGGAAUUGACGGGGGCCCGCACAAGCGGAGGAACAUGUGGUUUAAUUCGAUGAUACGCGAGGAACCUUACCCGGGCUUAAAUUGCAACUGACGGAACCGGAAACGGUUCUUUCUUCGGACAGUUGUGAAGGUGCUGCAUGGUUGUCGUCAGCUCGUGCCGUGAGGUGUCGGCUUAAGUGCCAUAACGAGCGCAACCCUUAUCGAUAGUUACUAGCAGGUCAUGCUGAGGACUCUAUUGAGACUGCCGUCGUAAGAUGUGAGGAAGGUGGGGAUGACGUCAAAUCAGCACGGCCCUUACGUCCGGGGCUACACACGUGUUACAAUGGGGGGUACAGAAGGCAGCUACACGGCGACGUGGUGCUAAUCCCGAAAGCCUCUCUCAGUUCGGAUUGGAGUCUGCAACCCGACUCCAUGAAGCUGGAUUCGCUAGUAAUCGCAGGUCAGCAUACUGCGGUGAAUACGUUCCCGGGCCUUGUACUCACCGCCCGUCAAG
This 1396-nucleotide ribosomal RNA is filed under the name uncultured bacterium. Its description in RNAcentral is "bacterial SSU rRNA". It matches the Rfam family "Bacterial small subunit ribosomal RNA". The record is from RNAcentral.